RNAcentral lists this long non-coding RNA (1718 nucleotides) under Equus asinus (donkey). RNAcentral's name for it is "lncRNA (ENSEASG00005025218.1)". Lineage: Eukaryota; Metazoa; Chordata; Mammalia; Perissodactyla; Equidae. The record is from RNAcentral.
GGGUGGAUACAUAGAUAGAGAGAUAUAUGUCCUUCUGGUCCUGUUUCCCUGGAGAACGCUGACUAUACAGGCUGCAAAGUCAGUGACCCUGCAGCCACGUGGCAGGCUGCUCUCCUGUGAAGUAAGGUACCACACUGCAGUGCAGAAUUGGUUGCCACGGUGACAAACCGGGCUGCCAGCUGUAGGGGUAUCCGGGGAGCCUCAGUGGCUGGACCCAUGGGUGGCUCCCCUUCCCACCCCAUGUCUGCUAUGCACAGGAGGCCACUGGGCAGCGUGGGAGUGGCGGGAGUUCCAAGAACCUUACGAGAGUCCAGAUACUUAACGUCGGCUGCAUGACCCAGCAGACAAGUGACUUCAGGAUGGGCAUUUCAGGUCACCUGAUGCCUAACAGACGAGAGUCAGUCUCUCCUUGGGCCCAGGAGGAAGCUGAAUGCUGAAUCUCAAGGGGAGGAAAGGUCCUGGCCAGAGAGGGUGUGGCUGUGCCCCACACUCGGGACAGGCGCUUGAGUUCUCUCAAAGCAGGCAUCCACUCAGGCCACCUGGAUAUAGAUAGAGGUAGAGAAGCAGACGCCCAGAUGUGGUCCAUGCUUCCUCCAGAAAGUGUUGUGCGCUUGUCCUUCACUAUGAGUGUGUCUGUGUUCACUGUACCCCAGAGAGAACGUCACUGAGAAUGCACGAGCCUGUCUUCUCAUAGGGUCUCCUUCCCACUCUCUGCCACGCAUGGUUUCUACCAAAGUGACCUCCUGCUUCCUCCUCUCCAGGUUCCAUUGCCACCAUGUCCUGGGGCUGAACAAGGGGUCAGGGUCCCUGUGCACUCACUCACAGCUGAGAGCCAGAGAGUUCAAGUCACCCCAAGGCUAGACCAUGCUACAUGCCUCCCGGGUGACAGCACACGGCCUCCGUGGCUUUCUGCAUGUCAGGACACACCUAAAAAAGGCCAACACGAAAGCAGGGUUCACUGGCUAAGUUGCUGCUUGCCGGGUGCGAUUGCCUGCAUUGAUUUGCUCCAAUUAAGAACAUCUGGGGGGCCCGCCCGGUGGCGCAGCGGUUAAGUGCACACGUUCCGCUUCGGCGGCCUGGGGUUCACUAGUUCGGAUCCCAGGUGUGGACAUGGCACCGCGUGACAAGCCACGCUGUGGCGGACGUCCCACGAUUAUCUGGAAGGACGGCUGCAAUUAUGUCUCACACACACACACCCCCUCGAUUUUAAGACCUUCCCCAAUGCGGCACAGCCCGCAGCUGGAAAGCUGACCCAGGGUAACACCUAGAGGAGGGCUGCCAAGUCCCGUCCAUCGCGCUCGCCUCGCUGGAGAGCGCCACACCGUUUCUGAUGCUGUUCAGUCCACGCACGGCCAUCCGGGCACGCGUGUCCUUGCCCACAAGUGUGAACAUUCAUCAGUCAGGCAGGUGUUAAAGGGCAUCACCUUAUGACUUUAAUUCCCAUUUCCCUGACUACUAACCUGGUUUUCACAUGUUUCUUGGCCAUUUCUGUUUCCUGCUCUGUGACGGGCCUUUUCGUGUCUUUUGCCCAUUUUUCUCUCGGAUCCCACAUCUCACUGACGUGUGGGGCAGCUUUGAUGUCUUACUGGGUAGAAACCGCUUGUCGCUUACGUGUAUGGGAGAUAGCUUCUCCUAAUUUGUGGCUUGACUUCACGUUCUUUAUAAUGACUCCCGGUGAACAAAUGUUCUUUGCUUGUUUCUUACCAUCUCAGGAAAAU